Long non-coding RNA from Octodon degus (degu), 317 nucleotides. RefSeq lists it as uncharacterized. The record is from RefSeq and is a predicted model, not a curated record. Lineage: Eukaryota; Metazoa; Chordata; Mammalia; Rodentia; Octodontidae. The transcript has 3 exons.
CUCAGCAUCCCGAGGGCUGGGAUUACAGGCGUACAUGCCAUUCAUCUGAGGUUGUGUAUACGCCCUCAAAGACAGAAUGCCCAUCUGCCUGGCAGUACUGCCCUGUGGAAUGGGGUUUGGGGGCAUCUUAAGAGGAAGUGGGAAGGCUGCGCCCGCUGCUAACCCGCUGCUGUAAUGCAUGGAAGAUGCUUACGACAGAUUCACUGAGUUCCUGAGAAGCAGUCUGUGCCAGAGGGUCUGUCAAGCGCUUCCCCACCCAGGCUUGGGUGCCUGCACGGUGUCCCCAGGCCUUGUGUCCACAGCCCUGUCUGCUUGGA